AACGAACGCUGGCGGCAGGCUUAACACAUGCAAGUCGAACGGGCGUAGCAAUACGUCAGUGGCGGACGGGUGAGUAACACGUGGGAAUAUGCCUUUCGGUUCGGAACAACUCGGGGAAACUCGUGCUAAUUCCGGAUACGCCCGUUACGGGGAAAGAUUUAUCGCCGAAGGAUUAGCCCGCGUUGGAUUAGCUAGUUGGUGAGGUAAUGGCCCACCAAGGCGACGAUCCAUAGCUGGUUUGAGAGAACGACCAGCCACACUGGGACUGAGACACGGCCCAGACUCCUACGGGAGGCAGCAGUGGGGAAUCUUGGACAAUGGAGGAAACUCUGAUCCAGCCAUGCCGCGUGAGUGAUGAAGGCCUUC
RNAcentral lists this ribosomal RNA (366 nucleotides) under uncultured bacterium. RNAcentral's name for it is "bacterial SSU rRNA". It matches the Rfam family "Bacterial small subunit ribosomal RNA", at positions 29 to 419 of the family's 1533-position model. The record is from RNAcentral.